This 301-nucleotide ribosomal RNA is filed under the name uncultured bacterium. RNAcentral describes it as "partial 16S ribosomal RNA". It matches the Rfam family "Bacterial small subunit ribosomal RNA", at positions 509 to 807 of the family's 1533-position model. The record is from RNAcentral.
CAGUCGCCGCGGUAAGACAGAGGAUGCAAGCGUUAUCCGGAAUGAUUGGGCGUAAAGCGUCUGUAGGUGGUGGUUUAAGUCCGUUGUGAAAGCCCUGGGCUCAACCUGGGAAUUGCAGUGGAUACUGGGUCACUAGAGUGUGGUAGAGGAUAGUGGAAUUUCCGGUGUAGCAGUGAAAUGCGUAGAGAUCGGAAGGAACAUCUGUGGCGAAGGCGACUAUCUGGGCCAACACUGACACUGAGGCACGAAAGCGUGGGGAGCAAACAGGAUUAGAUACCCGUGUAGUCCCUGUCUCUUAUAC